Molecule: non-coding RNA, 401 nt
Organism: Suncus etruscus (white-toothed pygmy shrew)
Lineage: Eukaryota; Metazoa; Chordata; Mammalia; Eulipotyphla; Soricidae
Source: the annotation of a RefSeq genome assembly
GUGGCUGUGUGAGCACAGCACUCAGCAUGGAAUGGAUAUGGAAAAUCCUCUUCCUGCUCACUGUGGCCACAGGUGUGGACUCCCAGAAGCUGGUGCAGUCUGGGCCUGAGUUGAGGAAACCUGGAACAUCAGUGAAGAUCUCCUGCCAGGCAUCCGGAUAUACCUUCACAAGCAACUAUAUGCACUGGGUGCAGCAGCGCCCUGGAAAAGGGCUUGAGUGGAUGGGAUGGAUUUACCCUGGUGAUGGUAAAACAAAAUACGCACAAAAGUUCCAGGGCAGAGUCACCCUCACUGCAGACACGUCCACCAGCACAGCCUACAUGGAAAUGAGCAAUCUGACACCUGAGGACACAGGCACAUAUUUCUGUGCGAGACACACAGUGUCACAACCCACAUCCUGA